GAUCAUGGCUCAGGAUGAACGCUAGCUACAGGCUUAACACAUGCAAGUCGAGGGGCGAGCGAGAGUGUAGCAAUACACUUGUCGGGCGACCGGCGCACGGGUGAGUAACGCGUAUCCAACCUGGCCCUUAGUAGGGAUAGCCCGGCGAAAGUCGGAUUAAUACCCUAUGUUUUCCCAUGAGAGCAUUUGAAAGGGACAAAGGAUUUAUCGCUAGGGGAUGGGGAUGCGUCCGAUUAGGCAGCAGGCGGGGUGACGGCCCACCUGGCCGACGAUCGGUAGGGGUUCUGAGAGGAAGGUCCCCCCACACUGGUACUGAGACACGGACCAGACUCCUACGGGGGGCAGCAGUGAGGAAUAUUGGUCAAUGGGCGGGAGCCUUAGAACCAGCCAAGUAGCGUGAGGGACGACGGCCCUACGGGUUGUAAACCUCUUUUGCCGGGGAAUAAAGUGUCGGGACGCGUCCCGUUUUGUAUGUACCCGGAGAAUAAGGACCGGCUAAUUCCGUGCCAGCCGCAGC
RNAcentral lists this ribosomal RNA (517 nucleotides) under uncultured bacterium. RNAcentral describes it as "bacterial SSU rRNA". It matches the Rfam family "Bacterial small subunit ribosomal RNA", at positions 15 to 518 of the family's 1533-position model. The record is from RNAcentral.